Molecule: ribosomal RNA, 400 nt
Filed under: uncultured bacterium
Lineage: Bacteria
Description: bacterial SSU rRNA
Rfam family: Bacterial small subunit ribosomal RNA (bases 1-356)
Source: RNAcentral
CAGGCCUAGCACAUGCAAGGUCGUACGGUAACAGGGGGUGCUAUACACCUGCUGACGAGUGGCGCACGGGUGCGCAACGCGUAUAGAACCUACCCUUACAGGGGGAUAGCCCAUGGAAACGUGGAUUAAUACCCCGUAGAGACGAAAGUGGCAUCGCUUCUUGUUUAAAGCUUCGGCGGUACGGGAUGGCUAUGGUCGGGUUAGUUAGUAGGCGAGGUAACGGCUCACCUAGGCAAUGAUGGGAGGGGCCCUGAGAGGGGGAUCCCCCACACUGGUUCUGAUACACGGACCAACUCGCUAGGGAGGGAGGACUGACGAAUAUUGCACAACGCGCGCACGGAGAUGGAGGCAUGGCGGGUGGUUUCCCCACCGCCCUUGGGGCUCGUCAGCCGCCCCCCUA